AAAGCAAAAUGUACAUCAACAGACAGCACCUGACACAUCCGAUAACAACAAUGAUGUGAGCAAACGUAAGUCGGAACCUUGGGUCCAUAUCUUGCCUUCCCAUCUUGAGCAUUAGUAACUGCCUGACGAUUAUGAGCAUUGCGUAAAUGCACACGAUGGUUUCAAGGUUAGUGAUGGUUGGAAUACCCAUGAUUCCGAUGGCAUCAAUCAAGAUCUUUAGCAGGAUCUUCU
This 231-nucleotide long non-coding RNA is filed under the name Eucalyptus grandis. Its description in RNAcentral is "long non-coding RNA (EGRA_LNC007892)". Lineage: Eukaryota; Viridiplantae; Streptophyta; Magnoliopsida; Myrtales; Myrtaceae. The record is from RNAcentral.